RNAcentral lists this ribosomal RNA (1769 nucleotides) under Escherichia coli. Its description in RNAcentral is "partial 23S ribosomal RNA". It matches the Rfam family "Bacterial large subunit ribosomal RNA", at positions 1 to 1801 of the family's 2925-position model. Lineage: Bacteria; Pseudomonadati; Pseudomonadota; Gammaproteobacteria; Enterobacterales; Enterobacteriaceae. The record is from RNAcentral.
GUUAUAGGGUCAAGUGACUAAGAGCAUAUGGUGGAUGCCUUGGCGAUUACAGGCGAUGAAAGACGUGAUAGCCUGCGAAAAGCUUCGGGGAGCUGGCAAAUAAGCUUUGAUCCGGAGAUGUCUGAAUGGGGAAACCCACCCGCAAGGGUAUCAACAGCUGAAUACAUAGGCUGUUGAAGCGAACCUGGAGAACUGAAACAUCUAAGUACCCAGAGGAAAAGAAAUCAACCGAGAUUCCGAUAGUAGUGGCGAGCGAAUUCGGAAGAGCCUUCUAGUGAUAGUCGACGAGUUAACAAAACGGCAUGGAAAGGCCGGCCAUAGUAGGUGAUAGCCCUGUAUGUGAAAACUUGUCGGUGGUACUGAGCUAGAGAAAAGUAGGGCGGGACACGUGUAAUCCUGUCUGAAUAUGGGGGGACCAUCCUCCAAGGCUAAAUACUCGUAAUCGACCGAUAGUGAACCAGUACCGUGAGGGAAAGGCGAAAAGAACCCCGGGAGGGGAGUGAAAUAGAUCCUGAAACCGUAUGCUUACAAAAAGUCGGAGCCUCGUAAGGGGUGACGGCGUACCUUUUGUAUAAUGGGUCAGCGACUUACAUUCAGUGGCAAGCUUAACCGAGUAGGGAAGGCGUAGAGAAAUCGAGUCCGAAUAGGGCGUUUUUAGUCGCUGGGUGUAGACCCGAAACCAAGUGAUCUAACCAUGGCCAGGAUGAAGGUGCCGUAACAGGUACUGGAGGUCCGAACCGACUGAUGUUGCAAAAUCAGCGGAUGAGCUGUGGUUAGGGGUGAAAGGCUAAACAAACUUGGAAAUAGCUGGUUCUCUCCGAAAACUAUUUAGGUAGUGCCUCAAGUAUUACCUGUGGGGGUAGAGCACUGUUUUGGCUAGGGGGUCAUGGCGACUUACCAAACCAAGGCAAACUCCGAAUACCGCAGAGUACAGCUUGGGAGACAGAGCACCGGGUGCUAACGUCCGGACUCAAGAGGGAAACAACCCAGACCGCCAGCUAAGGUCCCUAAAAUUGGCUAAGUGGGAAACGAAGUGGGAAGGCUAAAACAGUCAGGAUGUUGGCUUAGAAGCAGCCAUCAUUUAAAGAAAGCGUAAUAGCUCACUGAUCGAGUCGUCCUGCGCGGAAGAUGUAACGGGGCUAAGCCAGUUACCGAAGCUGCGGAUGUGCAAUUUAUUGCACGUGGUAGGAGAGCGUUCUGUAAGCCUGUGAAGGUGUCUGGUAACGGAUGCUGGAGGUAUCAGAAGUGCGAAUGCUGACAUGAGUAGCGUUAAAAGGGGUGAAAAGCCCCUUCGCCGUAAGCGCAAGGUUUCCUACGCAACGUUCAUCGGCGUAGGGUGAGUCGGCCCCUAAGGCGAGGCAGAGAUGCGUAGCUGAUGGGAAACAGGUCAAUAUUCCUGUACCGAUCAAUAGUGCGAUGUGGGGACGGAGAAGGUUAGCUCAGCCACCUGUUGGAAUAGGUGGUUCAAGCGUGUAGUCGUGCCUGGUAGGCAAAUCCGCCGGGCUUAGAUGAGGCGUGAUAACGAGUGUGCUUGCACACGAAGUGAGUGAUACCCUGCUUCCAGGAAAAGCCACUAAGCUUCAGCUAUUGAUUGACCGUACCGCAAACCGACACUGGUGCGCGAGAUGAGUAUUCUAAGGCGCUUGAGAGAACUCUGGAGAAGGAACUCGGCAAAUUGAUACCGUAACUUCGGGAGAAGGUAUGCCCUCGGUAUGUGAAGUUGAACAAACGGAGCAGAAAAGGGUUGCAAAAAAUCGGUGGCUGCAACU